RNAcentral lists this ribosomal RNA (1358 nucleotides) under Candidatus Regiella insecticola. Its description in RNAcentral is "bacterial SSU rRNA". It matches the Rfam family "Bacterial small subunit ribosomal RNA", at positions 108 to 1461 of the family's 1533-position model. Lineage: Bacteria; Pseudomonadati; Pseudomonadota; Gammaproteobacteria; Enterobacterales; Enterobacteriaceae. The record is from RNAcentral.
GAGUAAAGUCUGGGGAUCUGGCUUAUGGAGGGGGAUAACCAUUGGAAACGGUGGCUAAUACCGCAUGAUGUCGAAAGACCAAAGUGGGGGGACUUUAGAGCCUAACGCCAUAAGAUGAACCCAGAUGAGAUUAGCUAGUAGGUGCGGUAAUGGCGUACCUAGGCGACGAUCUCUAGCUGGUCUGAGAGGAUGACCAGCCACACUGGAACUGAGAAACGGUCCAGACUCCUACGGGAGGCAGCAGUGGGGAAUAUUGCACAAUGGGCGGAAGCCUGAUGCAGCCAUGCCGCGUGUGUGAAGAAGGCCUUAGGGUUGUAAAGCACUUUCAGCGGGGAGGAAGGCGGUAAGAGUAAUAUGCUUAUCGAUUGACGUUACCCGCAAAAGAAGCACCGGCUAACUCCGUGCCAGCAGCCGCGGUAAUACGGAGGGUGCUAGCGUUAAUCGGAAUAACUGGGCGUAAAGGGCAUGUAGGCGGUAAGUUAAGUCAGAUGUGAAAUCCCCGAGCUUAACUUGGGAACGGCAUUUGAGACUGGCUGGCUAGAGUUUUGUAGAGGGGGGUAGAAUUCCAGGUGUAGCGGUGAAAUGCGUAGAGAUCUGGAGGAAUACCUGUGGCGAAGGCGGCCCCCUGGACAAGGACUGACGCUGAGGUGCGAAAGCGUGGGUAGCAAACAGGAUUAGAUACCCUGGUAGUCCACGCUGUAAACGAUGUCGAUUUGGAGGUUGUAGCCUAGUGUUAUGGCGUCCGAAGCUAACGCGAUAAAUCGACCGCCUGGGGAGUACGGCCGCAAGGUUAAAACUCAAAUGAAUUGACGGGGGCCCGCACAAGCGGUGGAGCAUGUGGUUUAAUUCGAUGCAACGCGAAGAACCUUACCUACUCUUGACAUCCGCGGAAUUGAGCAGAGAUGCUUAGGUGCCUUCGGGAGCCGUGAGACAGGUGCUGCAUGGCUGUCGUCAGCUCGUGUUGUGAAAUGUUGGGUUAAGUCCCGCAACGAGCGCAACCCUUGUCCUUUGUUGCCAGCGCGUGAUGGCGGGAACUCAAAGGAAACUGCCGGUGAUAAAUCGGAGGAAGGUGGGGAUGACGUCAAGUCAUCAUGGCCCUUACGAGUAGGGCUACACACGUGCUACAAUGGCGCAUACAAAGAGCGGCGAGCGUGCGAACGUAAGCGAACCUCAUAAAGUGCGUCGUAGUCCGGAUUGGAGUCUGCAACUCGACUCCAUGAAGUCGGAAUCGCUAGUAAUCGUGGAUCAGAAUGCUACGGUGAAUACGUUCUCGGGCCUUGUACACACCGCCCGUCACACCAUGGGAGUGGGCGGCAAAAGAAGUAGGUAGCUUAACCUUCGGGGGGGCGCUUACCACU